RNAcentral lists this ribosomal RNA (468 nucleotides) under uncultured bacterium. Its description in RNAcentral is "partial 16S ribosomal RNA". It matches the Rfam family "Bacterial small subunit ribosomal RNA", at positions 28 to 507 of the family's 1533-position model. The record is from RNAcentral.
GACGAACGCUGGCGGCGUGCUUAACACAUGCAAGUCGAACGGAAAGGCCCUGCUUUUGUGGGGUGCUCGAGUGGCGAACGGGUGAGUAGCACGUGAGUAACCUGCCCUUGACUUUGGGAUAACUUCAGGAAACUGGGGCUAAUACCGGAUAGGAGCUCCUGCUGCAUGGUGGGGGUUGGAAAGUUUCGGCGGUUGGGGAUGGACUCGCGGCUUAUCAGCUUGUUGGUGGGGUAGUGGCUUACCAAGGCUUUGACGGGUAGCCGGCCUGAGAGGGUGACCGGCCACAUUGGGACUGAGAUACGGCCCAGACUCCUACGGGAGGCAGCAGUGGGGAAUAUUGCACAAUGGGCGGAAGCCUGAUGCAGCAACGCCGCGUGCGGGAUGACGGCCUUCGGGUUGUAAACCGCUUUCGCCUGUGACGAAGCGUGAGUGACGGUAAUGGGUAAAGAAGCACCGGCUAACUACGUG